CCUUUACGGCCGUCGCGAAAGUGUCGCGAACGCGCUGCCGCCCAUCAGAGUCACCCAGUCGGCUGGAGUCGGAGUUAUCAAUACUCGGGGUGUGCCUGCUGGGUUCUGGGUAAAGACCAGCCACAAAAAGCUGUAAAGCAAGAUAAAUUAUUCUCUCCGAAUAAAAGAAAGCCCGAGUCCAUGAGUGGCCAGCGGUCGUCCAAGAAACGAUGUGGGGACGCGCGCGCGGAGUCCCCCGUGGGCUUCGGGCACAUGAGUACUCCAGGGUGUGUGUUAAACAAGUUGUUUCAGCUGCCCACGCCACCGCUGUCCAGGCACCAGCUCAAGCGGCUGGAAGAGCACAGAUACCAGAGUGCCGGGCGGUCCCUGCUGGAGCCCCUGAUGCAGGGGUACUGGGAGUGGCUCGUGGGAAGAGUCCCCUCCUGGAUCGCCCCGAACCUCAUCACCAUCAUCGGGCUGUCCAUAAACAUCUGCACGACAGUCUUAUUAGUCUUUUACUGCCCUACAGCUACAGAGCAGGCACCUCUGUGGGCAUACAUUGCCUGUGCGUGUGGCCUUUUCAUCUACCAGUCUUUGGAUGCCAUAGACGGAAAACAGGCGAGAAGAACCAAUAGUAGUACUCCUUUGGGAGAACUUUUUGAUCAUGGUUGUGAUUCACUAUCAACAGUGUUUGUGGUUCUUGGAACUUGUAUUGCGGUGCAACUGGGGACAAAUCCCGAUUGGAUGUUCUUUUGUUGUUUUGCUGGGACGUUCAUGUUCUAUUGUGCGCACUGGCAAACAUAUGUUUCUGGAACAUUGCGAUUUGGAAUGCUACUUCAUAUAUCCAGCAAAAUGUUGUAAGAUGUCUGCCCUCCACCCGAGACAAAGCCGAUCGUCUCUGACACCUGCUUAGCCUCCUGAGUCUGCUACUGAGUGUAAUUUUCCUUAUUGGCAACACCACUCACCAGAAUUGAUGUGACUGAAGUGCAAAUCUUCAUAAUAAUCAUGCAUUUGCUGGCAGUGAUUGGAGGACCACCUUUUUGGCAAUCUAUGAUUCCAGUGCUGAAUAUUCAAGUGAAAAUUUUUCCUGCACUUUGUACUGUCGCAGGGACCAUAUUUUCCUGUACGAAUUAUUUCCGUGUAAUCUUCACAGGUGGUGUUGGGAAAAACGGAUCAACGAUAGCAGGAACAAGUGUCCUUUCUCCUUUUCUCCACAUUGGAUCCGUGAUCACAUUAGCUGUGAUGAUCUACAAGAAAUCCGCAGUCCAGCUUUUUGAAAAGCAUCCCUGUCUUUAUAUACUGACAUUUGGUUUUGUAUCUGCUAAAAUCACCAAUAAGCUUGUGGUGGCGCACAUGACAAAGAGUGAAAUGCAUUUGCACGACACAGCCUUCAUAGGCCCAGCACUUCUGUUUCUGGAUCAAUAUUUCAACAGCUUUAUCGAUGAAUAUAUUGUGCUUUGGAUUGCCCUGGUCUUCUCUUUCUUUGAUUUGAUCCGCUACUGUGUCAGCGUCUGCAAUCAGAUCGCAUCUCACCUGCACAUACACGUCUUCAGAAUCAAGGUCUCUACAGCUCACUCGAACCAUCACUAGUGAUGGCGUCGGUGUGGUAUAGGAAACUCGUGCUUUCUGCAGGAAAGAAUCUGAACAUAUUAAUGAGAGUGGGGAGGACAAGAACAAGUAUAAUUUAUAAUAAUCAACGUGGUAUAACUUUUAUCCUUUGUUACUGGUAACACUCCUUAACGAUCCUCUGUGAGAAUGGGAGUUUCGAGUCCUGUCCUGUAUAUUGUACAUGUUGAUGUACAGAUUUUGGCCAAGCGAGUGUGCGGGGAACAAUGCCAUGUGCUUGUAAGCUCUCCUGGAUUCAGAAUAAAAUUGUCAUGGGGGGCUGAUCCCCUGCAGUGGAGAUUUCUUAGGUAGAAUAUUUGCAGGCCAAAAGACGGUUGCUUUAUAAUUUUAACAAAUCAUCAUCGUUUAGUGACAUCUUUGAUUCAUGUCUUCUCAAGCUUUCUUUGCAAAGGAGCUCAGCUCAGGAGCAGAUGUACCCCACUGGCGUGUGAGGGGGAGCUAGUGACCAACACCCGGAAUUCGGAGGGAAAGGUUUCCUAUCUUGACAUCGCUGAGGAAGUCAUUUUUUUAUUGCUCAAGAAAUGGAGUGUCUCGUGGGCUGGGACCCUGUCAGCAUGCGGAAUAAUGUACCUUUGUCGAUUCAUUUUAUUUUUUUAAAUAAAUAUAUGAUCUGAAAGCCA
RNA transcript from Myotis lucifugus (little brown bat), 2225 nucleotides. It is a transcript of the gene named choline/ethanolamine phosphotransferase 1, with no coding region annotated. NCBI's taxonomy places the organism in Eukaryota, Metazoa, Chordata, Mammalia, Chiroptera, Vespertilionidae. The transcript has 10 exons. The record is from RefSeq and is a predicted model, not a curated record.